Molecule: unclassified non-coding RNA, 266 nt
Filed under: Hevea brasiliensis (rubber tree)
Lineage: Eukaryota; Viridiplantae; Streptophyta; Magnoliopsida; Malpighiales; Euphorbiaceae
Source: RNAcentral
GUUAAAUUACCACCAUUCCUCUGAUUGUAUUGUUUACGUAUUUGAUUUGACAAUAUGUAUAUACAUAUAUUACAUGUAUUCCCACUUGUUGAUUGGGAAAGACUUUUUUUGUAUAUCAUGUGAUUAUGCUUCCAUUGGAGUUGAAACAGGUACUCUAUUAAUCUGAAUUUUGAUCAUCCAUCUCUUAUAAAACUUCUAAUUUAUAGAUUGAUACUUUAUUAAUUAUUAUUAUUAAAUGAAUAAACUAAUGCUAAAUGAUGUGUUUU